This 376-nucleotide ribosomal RNA is filed under the name uncultured Alphaproteobacteria bacterium. RNAcentral describes it as "bacterial SSU rRNA". It matches the Rfam family "Bacterial small subunit ribosomal RNA", at positions 523 to 898 of the family's 1533-position model. Lineage: Bacteria; Pseudomonadati; Pseudomonadota; Alphaproteobacteria. The record is from RNAcentral.
AUACGAAGGGAGCGAGCGUUGUUCGGAAUCACUGGGCUUAAAGCGUGCGUAGGUGGAUUGGUAAGUAAGAAGUGAAAUCCCAGGGCUUAACCCUGGAACUGCUUUUUAGACUGCCUGUCUUGAAUUCGGUAGAGGUUGGUGGAACUCCCAGUGUAGAGGUGAAAUUCGCAGAUAUUGGGAAGAACACCGGUGGCGAAGGCGACCAACUGGACCGACAUUGACACUGAGGCACGAAAGCGUGGGUAGCAAACAGGAUUAGAUACCCUGGUAGUCCACGCCGUAAACCAUGUUUGCUAGCUGUUGGAGUCCUUAGGGCUUCGGCGGCGGAGGGAAACCAUUAAGCAAACCGCCUGGGGAGUACGGCCGCAAGGUUAAA